Molecule: long non-coding RNA, 462 nt
Organism: Camelus dromedarius (Arabian camel)
Lineage: Eukaryota; Metazoa; Chordata; Mammalia; Artiodactyla; Camelidae
Exons: 4
Source: RefSeq, a predicted model, not a curated record
UCCAAAUUGUCUUGUGACCUGAGACACCAUUACCACUAUCAAAUUUAAGAAGAGAUUAAAGGUGUUAAAUACAGUUGCCAAGUCAAGAAGAUUUAAGGCAAAACAGAUAUAAUGCAUGAAAAAACAUAGUAUAACACCCACUACAAACAUUCACUGAGGAUUUAUGUUCCAAAUAUGGGCAUCUUGGGAGAGUAAGGAAUUGUUGUGGUGGCUUUGUCAGCCAGAUUUCAGAAGCAAGACAAGUGCUAGAAGCCGAAGUGAUAUGAAAUAAUACCUGAUGUAUCCAAGUGCAGGAACUGCUGUGUAAUGAUGGGGAUGCUACGCCAGCAUCAUCCUCAAGAACAGACUCUUCUCCAGGAUUGGAAAAUUGCAUCUUAAAGGUUUGGGACACAUCUGGACUAAUCCAUCAGGGAGGAAAAAUGUCUUUGGAAUUAUAAUGACAGUGAUCUUCAAGAGCAAACC